Zootoca vivipara (common lizard) is the source of this 2185-nucleotide non-coding RNA. Lineage: Eukaryota; Metazoa; Chordata; Lepidosauria; Squamata; Lacertidae. The record is from RefSeq and is a predicted model, not a curated record.
CGUUGGAGUUGACGGUUGGCGGUUAGUUCAAGAUGGCGAGUAAUGCCUGGCCCUCGGUCAUUCUCGUCGGCCUCCCUAGCCUCUCCCCUUCCCCAAGGGACCCCCCAGACUCUGUGCAGAGGUAGCAAUGGAGGCACCCCUGGGACUCGAAGAGGAAGCAGCCCCGGACGGAGGCGGCUCUCUGCACAUGCUCAGGAACCACGCCAGCCUUGGCCCUCGUUCCCCCUCCCUCCUGAGGUAAAGAGACGGGCCUUACUCCAGCCAGCAGCCCUGGGACUCGAAGAGGAAGCAGCCCCGGACGGAGGCGGCUCUCUGCACAUGCUCAGGAACCAGGGCAGCCUUGGCCCUCGUUCCCCCUCCCUCCUGAGGUAAAGAGACGGGCCUUACUCCAGCCAGCAGCCCUGGGACUCGAAGAGGAAGCAGCCCCGGACGGAGGCGGCUCUCUGCACAUGCUCAGGAACCACGCCAGCCUUGGCCCUCGUUCCCCCUCCCUCCUGAGGUAAAGAGACGGGCCUUACUCCAGCCAGCAGCCCUGGGACUCGAAGAGGAAGCAGCCCCGGACGGAGGCGGCUCUCUGCACAUGCUCAGGAACCACGCCAGCCUUGGCCCUCGUUCCCCCUCCCUCCUGAGGUAAAGAGACGGGCCUUACUCCAGCCAGCAGCCCUGGGACUCGAAGAGGAAGCAGCCCCGGACGGAGGCGGCUCUCUGCACAUGCUCAGGAACCACGCCAGCCUUGGCCCUCGUUCCCCCUCCCUCCUGAGGCUGUAAAAUGUAGAAUGGAACGAACCUUUUGCCCUUGCUUUCCUUGAAUGAAAUUGCAUUCAGUUUCUGAUGAAGAGCAGUGCAGCCACCUGUCUAGGUCCCAGUUCAUCACUACAGCUCUGCUAUUGAUCGGAAUCCUCACCAUCAAUGAAGAAUGCGGGUGCUCUUCCUCGAGUGUGCACCCAUGCCUCGAGUGUUGGGCUGCUGGUUGCGGUCAUCGGCAUGUCCUUGGGGAUGAACAGAGGCUUGCCACCAAGGAUCUUCACAGCCGUUGCUGGAUGGGGGCUGGAGGUCUUGCAAGUGAGUGCCUUUUCUCUGCCUUAGAAUCAUGGGAGUUGGAAGGGACCCUGAGCAUCAUCUAGUCCAACCCCUGCAAUGCGGGAAUCUCAACUAAAGCACCCAGGACAGGUGGCCAGCCAACCUCUGCUUUCAAACCUCCAAGGAAGGAGAGUCCACCACCUUCCGAGGGAGUUUGUUCUAUUCCCGAAGAGCUCUUACUGUCAGAAAGUUCUUCUUAGGUUUUCAUUGGAAUCUCCUUUCCUGUAACUUGAAGCCAUUGGUUCAUCUCCUACCCUCCACAGCAGGAGAAAGCAAGAUUGGUCCAUCUUCCCUGUGGUGUACCUAGGAGUUCUUCCUUUUAAAAGUACAAAACGAGAGUAUAAAAGAGCUGCGGGUGGAAACAGGUCUCCUGUACUGGAGGCAAUAAAUUGAUUCCGAAUCCUGUUUUGUGUAGUUGGGGAUGCAGAGUGGGAGGUCUUGAUGGCCAGGUGGUCUUUAUGGCCAGGAGCACCCUUCUGUUCCCCUAGCUCCGCUGGAACCCCUUUGGGACAGCUAUGCCUUGGCCAUUGCGCUCCAUGCUCUGGCAACUUCCAGACUGGAUUGCUGCAACACGCUUUACUUGGGGCUGCCCUUGAAGACAGCUCAGCCAGGGAUGAUGGGAGUUGCACUCCCACAACCUCUGGAGGGGCCACCCUUGCAUGAAAGGCUCAUUUGUGAGGGACGUAACUGAGGGGCGGGCAGUACAGGCAAGUGAUGGUCCAGUUCAGGGAUGGGGAAGAUACAGGCAGGAACCUUUUUGUGUGCGUCCAAUGGAUGCACGGUCAUCCCCCCCCCCCACUGCUGACCUGGAAGCGGCCCCAAAAUGAGGCAACACCCAUGGGGGUCAGGAAGGAAACCUCUGCUCAAAAUGGCUAUCACCUGUAGUCGGCAUCCAGCAACAAGAGGGUCUCAGCUUGCCCAUCCCUGGACCAGAUCCUUUUGAAUACUGCCACCAGGUCUACAAAGAACCAUGUGGGCCCCAGUGGUGCUGUCAAAGCAGCAGCUGAGCUCAGUUUCUGCUUCUGGCUUCUGUUGUCGUUUAGUCGUGUCUGACUCUUCGUGACUAGGCUUCUCCUAGAACUGAAUCAAACCAGUUUCCCCCCCC